GAUGAACGCUGGCGGCGUGCUUAACACAUGCAAGUCGCGCGUGAAAGGACUUCGGUCCGAGUAAAGCGGCGCACGGGUGAGUAACGCGUGGAUGAUCUACCCAUGAGUUAGGAAUAACGGCUGGAAACGGUCGCUAAUACCGAAUACGCUCCGAUUUCAACUUCGGGGGAAAGGUGGCCUCUGCUUGCAAGCUACUGCUCAUGGAUGAGUCCGCGUCCCAUUAGCUAGUUGGUGGGGUAACGGCCCACCAAGGCGACGAUGGGUAGCCGGUCUGAGAGGAUGACCGGCCACACUGGGACUGGAACACGGCCCAGACUCCUACGGGAGGCAGCAGUGGGGAAUAUUGCGCAAUGGGCGAAAGCCGGACGCAGCGACGCCGCGUGAGGGAUGAAGGUCCUCGGAUCGUAAACCUCUGUCAGGAGGGAAGAACCGCCACGGUGCUAAUCAGCCGUGGUCUGACGGUACCUCCAAAGGAAGCACCGGCUAACUCCGUGCCAGCAGCCGCCGUAA
RNAcentral lists this ribosomal RNA (510 nucleotides) under uncultured bacterium. RNAcentral describes it as "partial 16S ribosomal RNA". It matches the Rfam family "Bacterial small subunit ribosomal RNA", at positions 28 to 523 of the family's 1533-position model. The record is from RNAcentral.